CCCAGAUCCCGGUGGCUGUGAUCGGUCAUUCCAGCUUCGUGCUGGCUGCAGGUGGAUGAUGCCCAGCUGGCUGCCGAUGACUUCUGCACCAAGUGAGGCUGGGUCUCUGGAGCUGCCCCAGGGACUGGACAAGCUGACCCUGGCCGGAGCCAACCUGGAGAUGCAGAUUGAGAACCUCAAGGAGGACCUGGUCUACCUGAAGAAGAACCAUGAGGAGGUGAGGAAAUGAACGCCCUUUGAGGUCAGGUGCACGAAGAUGUCAGUGUGAAGAUGGACACUGUGCCUGGAGUGAACCUGAGCUGCAUCCUGAAUGAGAUGUGUGACCAGGACAAGAAAUUGGUGGAGAAGAGCUGCAAGGAUGCCGAGGGCUGGUUCUUCAGCGUGGUGGGUGGCCGUGUGUAAGCAGAGAGAGGGGCUGAACUUCGAGGUGGCCACCAACACAGAGGCCCCACAGAGCGGCAGGACAGAGAUAUGGAGCUCUACAGCUCUGUGCAGAACCUGAACUGUCCCAGCUCAGCCAGGUAGGGCCUCUGUCCCCUCCCCACCCUGUAGCUGUCACCCCAGGGUGAGCCCAGCC
RNAcentral lists this long non-coding RNA (577 nucleotides) under Cercocebus atys (sooty mangabey). Its description in RNAcentral is "lncRNA (ENSCATG00000045532.1)". The record is from RNAcentral. Lineage: Eukaryota; Metazoa; Chordata; Mammalia; Primates; Cercopithecidae.